This 468-nucleotide ribosomal RNA is filed under the name uncultured bacterium. RNAcentral describes it as "partial 16S ribosomal RNA". It matches the Rfam family "Bacterial small subunit ribosomal RNA", at positions 28 to 507 of the family's 1533-position model. The record is from RNAcentral.
GACGAACGCUGGCGGCGUGCUUAACACAUGCAAGUCGAACGGAAAGGCCCUGCUGUUGUGGGGUGCUCGAGUGGCGAACGGGUGAGUAACACGUGAGUAACCUGCCCUUGACUCUGGGAUAACUUCAGGAAACUGGGGCUAAUACCGGAUAGGAGCUCCUGCUGCAUGGUGGGGGUUGGAAAGUUUCGGCGGUUGGGGAUGGACUCGCGGCUUAUCAGCUUGAUGGUGGGGUAGUGGCUUACCAAGGCUUUGACGGGUAGCCGGCCUGAGAGGGUGACCGGCCACAUUGGGACUGAGCUACGGCCGGGACUCCUGCGGGAGGCAGCAGUGUGGAAUAUUGCACGAUGGGCGGAAGCCUGAUGCAGCAACGCCGCGUGCGGGAUGACGGCCUUCGGGUGGUAGGCGGCUUUCGCCUGUGACGAAGCGUGAUUGACGGUAAUAGGUAAAGAAGCACCGGCUAACUACGUG